UGAACGCUGGCGGCAUGCCUAACACAUGCAAGUCGAACGGCAGCACGUUGUGUAGUAAUACACAUGGGUGGCGAGUGGCGGACGGGUGAGUAAUACGUAGGGAUCUGCCUUUUGGACGGGGACAACUUGGGGAAACUCGAGCUAAUACCCGGUAAGCUCUAAGGAGGAAAGGAUGGGACUAGAGAUAGCCAUUCACCAAAAGAUGAACCUACGUCGGAUUAGCUAGUUGGUGGGGUAAAGGCCUACCAAGGCGAUGAUCCGUAGCUGGUCUGAGAGGAUGAACAGCCACACUGGGACUGAGACACGGCCCAGACUCCUACGGGAGGCAGCAGUGGGGAAUAUUGGACAAUGGGGGCAACCCUGAUCCAGCGAUGCCGCGUGUGCGAAGAAGGCCUGCGGGUUGUAAAGCACUUUGAUGGGGGAAGAAGGUUUUGUAUCGAAUAGAUACGAGAAUUGACGUUACCCCAAGAACAAGCACCGGCUAACUCUGUGCCAGCAGCCGCGGUAAUACAGAGGGUGCGAGCGUUAAUCGGAAUUACUGGGCGUAAAGGGCGCGUAGGCGGCUAUAUAAGUUAGGUGUGAAAUCCUUGGGCUUAACCUGAGCAUUGCAUUUAAUACUGUAUGGCUAGAGUAAAGUAGAGGGAAGUGGAAUUUCCGGUGUAGCGGUGAAAUGCGUAGAUAUCGGAAAGAACAUCAGUGGCGAAGGCGGCUUUCUGGACUUAUACUGACGCUGAGGCGCGAAAGCAUGGGUAGCAAACAGGAUUAGAUACCCUGGUAGUCCAUGCUGUAAACGAUGAUAACUAGAUGUUGGCAGGUAAAACCUGUGAGUAUCGAAGCAAACGCGAUAAGUUAUCCGCCUGGGGAGUACGGCCGCAAGGCUAAAACUCAAAGGAAUUGACGGGGGCCCGCACAAGCGGUGGAGCAUGUGGUUUAAUUCGAUGCAACGCGAAGAACCUUACCUACCCUUGACAUCCUGCGAAUUUCUCUGAGAGGAGGAAGUGCCGAAAGGAACGCAGAGACAGGUGCUGCAUGGCUGUCGUCAGCUCGUGUCGUGAGAUGUUGGGUUAAGUCCCGUAACGAGCGCAACCCUUGUCCUUAGUAGCCAUCAUUUAGUUGGGCACUCUAAGGGGACUGCCGGUGAUAAACCGGAGGAAGGUGGGGAUGAGGUCAAGUCAUCAUGGCCUUUAUGGGUAGGGCCACACACGUGCUACAAUGGUCGGUACAAAGGGAAGCGAACUCGCGAGGGGGAGCAAAUCUCAAAAAGCCGAUCGUAGUCCGGAUUGGAGUCUGCAACUCGACUCCAUGAAGUUGGAUCGCUAGUAAUCGCGGAUCAGACGCCGCGGUGAUACGUUCCCAGGCAUCACACACCGCCCG
This 1374-nucleotide ribosomal RNA is filed under the name uncultured bacterium. Its description in RNAcentral is "16S ribosomal RNA". It matches the Rfam family "Bacterial small subunit ribosomal RNA", at positions 30 to 1396 of the family's 1533-position model. The record is from RNAcentral.